AAGAUACUAGUAAAAUAAUUACCCUGCCUUGUCAAGGCAAAAUUGUAGGUUAAACCCCUGCGUAUCUUA
RNAcentral lists this transfer RNA (69 nucleotides) under Pareutropius debauwi (African glass catfish). Its description in RNAcentral is "tRNA-Asp". It matches the Rfam family "tRNA". From Rfam's summary of the family: Transfer RNA (tRNA) molecules are approximately 80 nucleotides in length. Their secondary structure includes four short double-helical elements and three loops (D, anti-codon, and T loops). The record is from RNAcentral. Lineage: Eukaryota; Metazoa; Chordata; Actinopteri; Siluriformes; Schilbidae.